GAAACUGUACGCAUGUACAGUACACAUUUUAUUUUUAAAAGGGGCUUUUUGAAGUAAAACUCAAAGGGCCCAGUGUUUCCUCCAACACCGUGACUACCUCGGAGGGGGUAAUAAUGACCAGUCUGUGUGUGGGGGAGAAUUAGCCACAGCCGAUAUUUUGGGGGAAGUCCACAACGUACACGAGCGUCAGAAUAAAUAAGAAACUGUUCCCUUUCAAAAAGUCGCUUCAGUAAAUGUCUGGAUUGGAAUCAGGCUUGAGCGAGGAGAUUAUGGGUUAUUGUUGCUCACCUGGUGCAAUGGUUCCAGCUGUUCUGAGGCUCUACUUCUUCGGGAUCGCUGUGAGCAUCUUCACCUUCAUUUUCAGCCUGGCCGACUCGGUUGGCGGCCUGAUGUACGUCCAAGACUGCCGCUGGAUGCUGGAGAUGGAGAGGUGUCCCGCGCCGAAACCUCAUGGAGGGUCUUUGGCGACCCCGCAUCUGGACUGAUGAGACGGCGGGGCAAAACGUCGGAUGGAUGCACUUUGUGGAACUGUGGCAUCUUUAAAAAAUGCAAAAGGAGAGCACUACUGACAUUUGAUGAGCCAAAGACACAAUUGUAACAUGCAGGCAUUGAGAAAGUGACUGCAAGCAGCAUGGGGGAAUGAUUUCAAGAUUAAUAUUUUGGUGUGUAAUAGCCUCAUAAUUAAAAUAAACUAA
Molecule: long non-coding RNA, 695 nt
Organism: Hippocampus zosterae (dwarf seahorse)
Lineage: Eukaryota; Metazoa; Chordata; Actinopteri; Syngnathiformes; Syngnathidae
Exons: 2
Source: RefSeq, a predicted model, not a curated record